ACGUAAUAGAUACCCAGGUAGUCCACGCCGUAAACGGUGGGUACUAGGUGUGGGUUUCCUUCCUUGGGAUCCGUGCCGUAGCUAAACGCAUUAAAGUACCCCGCCUGGGGAGUACGGCCGCAAGGCUAAAACUCAAAGGAAUUGACGGGGCCGCACAAGCGGCGGAGCAUGUGGAUUAAUUCGAUGCAACGCGAAGAACCUUACCUGGGUUUGACAUGCACAGGACGCCGGCAGAGAUGUCGGUUCCCUUGUGGCCUGUGUGCAGGUGGUGCAUGGCUGUCGUCAGCUCGUGUCGUGAGAUGUUGGGUUAAGUCCCGCAACGAGCGCAACCCUUGUCUCAUGUUGCCAGCACGUGAUGGUGGGGACUCGUGAGAGACUGCCGGGGUCAACUCGGAGGAAGGUGGGGAUGACGUCAAGUCAUCAUGCCCCUUAUGUCCAGGGCUUCACACAUGCUACAAUGGCCGG
This 465-nucleotide ribosomal RNA is filed under the name uncultured bacterium. RNAcentral describes it as "bacterial SSU rRNA". It matches the Rfam family "Bacterial small subunit ribosomal RNA", at positions 772 to 1237 of the family's 1533-position model. The record is from RNAcentral.